Molecule: long non-coding RNA, 748 nt
Filed under: Equus caballus (horse)
Lineage: Eukaryota; Metazoa; Chordata; Mammalia; Perissodactyla; Equidae
Description: lncRNA (ENSECAG00000035794.2)
Source: RNAcentral
CCACAGAGAAAAUGGCAGCAGCUCCAAGGCUGCCAGCGUGAGGCCAUUGCCUCCAAUUUCUCAGCCCGGGACCGGGAGGAGCCCGAAAACAGAACCAUCUCUCAGGGCUCUUCAGGCCUCCACAGCCGGGCAGCCCUCAGGCCUCCCCCUGUGCAAAUGUCAGUCACAUGCCCCCUCAUUUCUUCCUACCUGGCGUCACCCAUGGAGCUCUAGCCUCUGCCGGGAGCCAGCUGCCCUGAGAGAUUGGAAGGUUGCAGCCGCCUCAGCCACAUGCCGGAGUCACAUUCCUGGUUUGCCGCCAUGGGGCUGGAAACUGCCCUGUGCAGAGACGCCCAGCUGAGAGGGCCAGCAGGAGCCAAAAUCCAUCCCGUCCUCCAUUCAAGGAGCUCUGUGCAUCUGCUCAGAGGAAGGAGAGACUUCUCUGCAAAGGGCAUGGUCCACUUGCUAAGGGUGGCGGAAAACUGACUGAGGAUACACGAAAUGGGGCCAACGAGGAGAAGUGGCUAGAAUUCCUCUCUCCUUGAAUACUCAAACUUUGGGUCAAGGUCCCAAGUUUCGGACUCUCCGGAUUGGUCCCUCAGGCCCCUUAGGUGGCAGAGGGGGUGGGGAUGCUGCAGGAGCCCCCAGAGAAUCCUGAGGGAGAGGGAUGAUGGCUCCCCCUGAUACCAAGCCAUAUGACUAAGAAUUAAUAUUUAACAGUAAGUAAGUGGCAAGGCCCUCAGUUAGCACACAUUAUCUAAGGUCAGGA